GGAGGUGAGGAUGAUCUGGCUGUGGCAUCUGUCAUCGUCGCGAUUGCCAGGGCUGGUUUGGCUGCUAGGACUGGCGAGGCAGCUGUCCCCAUCCUCCGUCCCUCACAACUUCCUGUGACUCACGCAAUAUUUUUAAAUACUACACAUAUAUCGUAUUUUUAGGUCAGUCCACCGUAAUGCAUUGAUAUAUUUAAUCAAUGUCUAAGGUUUUUCUCAAAAAAGAAAGUCUUGCCUUGUGGCUGUAUUUCAUUGCUAGCUGUUUUCAACAUUAAGUUCAAACU
This 281-nucleotide small nuclear RNA is filed under the name Sus scrofa (pig). RNAcentral describes it as "7SK RNA". The stretch from base 1 to 112 matches the Rfam family "7SK RNA", at positions 1 to 108 of the family's 331-position model. Lineage: Eukaryota; Metazoa; Chordata; Mammalia; Artiodactyla; Suidae. The record is from Rfam by way of RNAcentral.